RNAcentral lists this small nuclear RNA (116 nucleotides) under Chinchilla lanigera (long-tailed chinchilla). RNAcentral's name for it is "U5 spliceosomal RNA (ENSCLAG00000020028.1)". It matches the Rfam family "U5 spliceosomal RNA". From Rfam's summary of the family: U5 RNA is a component of both types of known spliceosome. The precise function of this molecule is unknown, though it is known that the 5' loop is required for splice site selection and p220 binding, and that both the 3' stem-loop and the Sm site are important for Sm protein binding and cap methylation. The record is from Rfam by way of RNAcentral. Lineage: Eukaryota; Metazoa; Chordata; Mammalia; Rodentia; Chinchillidae.
ACACUCUGGUUUACCUUCAGAUCAUAUAAAUCUUUCACCUUUUACUAAACAUUUCCAUGAAGAUGAGCAACUCUGAGUCUUAAACCAAUAUUUUGAGGCCUUGCUUCAGCAAGGCU